CGCUGGCGGCAGGCCUAACACAUGCAAGUCGAGGGGUAGAGAGGUGCUUGCACCUCUUGAGAGCGGCGGACGGGUGAGUAAUGCCUAGGAAUCUGCCUGGUAGUGGGGGAUAACGCUCGGAAACGGACGCUAAUACCGCAUACGUCCUACGGGAGAAAGCAGGGGACCUUCGGGCCUUGCGCUAUCAGAUGAGCCUAGGUCGGAUUAGCUAGUUGGUGGGGUAAUGGCUCACCAAGGCGACGAUCCGUAACUGGUCUGAGAGGAUGAUCAGUCACACUGGAACUGAGACACGGUCCAGACUCCUACGGGAGGCAGCAGUGGGGAAUAUUGGACAAUGGGCGAAAGCCUGAUCCAGCCAUGCCGCGUGUGUGAAGAAGGUCUUCGGAUUGUAAAGCACUUUAAGUUGGGAGGAAGGGCAUUAACCUAAUACGUUAGUGUUUUGACGUUACCGACAGAAUAAGCACCGGCU
RNAcentral lists this ribosomal RNA (469 nucleotides) under uncultured bacterium. Its description in RNAcentral is "bacterial SSU rRNA". It matches the Rfam family "Bacterial small subunit ribosomal RNA", at positions 34 to 498 of the family's 1533-position model. The record is from RNAcentral.